RNAcentral lists this ribosomal RNA (392 nucleotides) under uncultured bacterium. RNAcentral's name for it is "bacterial SSU rRNA". It matches the Rfam family "Bacterial small subunit ribosomal RNA", at positions 30 to 425 of the family's 1533-position model. The record is from RNAcentral.
AUUGAACGCUGGCGGCAUGCCUUACACAUGCAAGUCGAACGGCAGCACGGGAGCAAUCCUGGUGGCGAGUGGCGAACGGGUGAGUAAUAUAUCGGAACGUGCCCAGUCGUGGGGAUAACGUAGCGAAAGCUACGCUAAUACCGCAUACGAUCUACGGAUGAAAGCGGGGGAUCGCAAGACCUCGCGCGAUUGGAGCGGCCGAUAUCAGAUUAGGUAGUUGGUGAGGUAAAGGCUCACCAAGCCGACGAUCUGUAGCUGGUCUGAGAGGACGACCAGCCACACUGGGACUGAGACACGGCCCAGACUCCUACGGGAGGCAGCAGUGGGGAAUUUUGGACAAUGGGCGCAAGCCUGAUCCAGCAAUGCCGCGUGCAGGAUGAAGGCCUCGGUUG